UACGGAGGGGGCUAGCGUUGUUCGGAAUUACUGGGCGUAAAGCGCGCGUAGGCGGCUUUGUAAGUUAGAGGUGAAAGCCCGGGGCUCAACUCCGGAAUUGCCUUUAAGACUGCAUCGCUAGAAUCGUGGAGAGGUAAGUGGAAUUGGUAGUGUAGCAGUGAAAUGCGUAGAUAUUACCAGGAACACCAAUGGCGAAGGCAGCUUGCUGGGCCACUCCUGACACUGAGGUACGAAAGCGUGGGGAGCGAACAGG
This 253-nucleotide ribosomal RNA is filed under the name uncultured bacterium. RNAcentral describes it as "partial 16S ribosomal RNA". It matches the Rfam family "Bacterial small subunit ribosomal RNA", at positions 524 to 776 of the family's 1533-position model. The record is from RNAcentral.